Pipra filicauda (Wire-tailed manakin) is the source of this 1366-nucleotide RNA transcript. It is a transcript of the gene named chromosome unknown C15orf61 homolog, with no coding region annotated. The record is from RefSeq and is a predicted model, not a curated record. The transcript is spliced from 4 exons. NCBI's taxonomy places the organism in Eukaryota, Metazoa, Chordata, Aves, Passeriformes, Pipridae.
UGAGCCCCCCCAGCUCCCUCAGCCGCUCCUGCUGCUCCAGCCCCUUCCCCGGACACGCUCCAGCCCCUCUCGGUGUCCCUGCUGUCAUGAGGGGCCCGGCCCGUCCCCGCCCGCCGGCGCAGGCGCGGCUCUGCCCGGCCCGGCGGCCCCGCGGGAUGCGGGCGCUGCGGCGGCUGCACGAGGCGGUCCUGGCGCUGCUGCUGUGGCGGGGCCCGGGCCCGGCCCGGCCCGCGGCCUCGGAGGUGCUGAGCCAGCACCUGCGGCAGCGCCGGCUGCCCCACUGGACCUCCUUCUGCGUCAAGUACAGCGCGGUGCGCAACGACCAGUUCGGGCUCUCGCACUUCAACUGGCCCGUGGACGGCGCCAACUACCUGGUGCUGCGCACCGGCUGCUUCCCCUUCAUCAAGUACCACUGCUCGCGGGCCGCGCCGCAGGACCUGGCGCUGCAGAACGCCGCCUUCACCGCGCUCAAGGUGCUCAACGCCGGCAUCCCAACUUUACUGUACGGAAUUGGCUCCUGGUUCUUUGCCAGUGUCACAGAGACUGUUCAAACGAGUCACGGCCCAGUUACUAUUUAUUUUCUAAAUAAAGAAGACGAAGGAGCCAUGUACUGAACUCAGGCCUUCAAGUCCCUGUUGUUUGGUGAUUUCUGCUGCAAAUAUUUGCUCCCUUUGACUAAAAAGAACUGAAGGAAACUGUUAUUUUCUUACAGUGCAUCCUCAUAUUUAAUGUGCUGGUUCAAGAAGCUUCCUGGACUUUUCGGUCAUGAGAGAUUUAUUUCUGCAGAGGUUUUGGCUUGAAUGCAGGAUGGAAAUACUGGGGGCCAAGAGGAUUCACAGCACCUUGUCCCAAAACUUUCUUGGGGGAAAUAACUGGUCCACAAAAUGACCCUUCUGCCUUUACAGGGACACCUGGAGCCACCUGACCUUCCACUGACUUGAGCAGAAGUUGGAUCUGUCCUCAACUUACCUUUUGUAUUGACCUAAAUCUCUUUGCAAACCAGAAUUAAAGGUCUCCCUGAUGUACAUUAUUAUUGAAUAAAAUUUAGCUAUUUCUUAAUAGCUGAAUGCCCUCAGGCCUCUGCUUUAAAGCAACUUUGCCUGAAACAAAGGAGAAUUUGCUUCAUAUAUUAUUUACUUUGGCCAUUUAAUUUAAAUUGCCUUUUGCUGUAGCUCCUUACUCAUGUUCACUGCAGAGAAGUAAGUUAAUAAAUCUGAGAGUUGUCUUGAUUUCUUUCCCUGGUUCUGGAAACAGAUGUCAGGUUAUACUUUUUGGGCUGUAUUUUUCAGUUUAAAUACACCUAAGAAAAAGUGGCAACUCCAGCAUUGCAUCAAGGGGAUGUAGAAUAAAAAUUGUCACUAAUGUA